UCUCACAGGGUAUUUUGUUAUUAUUAAAAGAAAACAGAUACGUUUUCAGAAUGGUCUGUUAAAGAUUUGACUACGCAAUUUGGGUUUGACAAUUUAAAUUGUUACAACUUUAUGUGUCCCCAGAUUCACCAUUUUCAGGCUCCAGCUACUAUUUCAAUAAAUAAAACAUCAGUCCCUUAGGACAAAUGACAAGGAAAUCCUCAUAUAACCUUAAACAGAAGUAGAAGGGAACGGGGAAGUGCUUAAACCUAACAGAGGAAGAAGUCUUUUCGGAAUACAAGCCCAAAUAAAUAUUUGAACAGGAAUGGUAUCUUCAUGCGUGUGGUGAAAAAUAGUCCUUUUCAGGCUGUACAGUUUGGCAGGCUGGCAUGUUGACUUUAUCACCUCGGGAUCUCUGGGGUUUCAGACACCUACCCGCAGGCGUCAUCACGAGCAUGCGCACACCCCUGCCCAGGGGCCUGAGGCUGCAGGCUGGGGCCUGUGAGCCGCUCCCAGGAACAUCCCCGGGGCCCAGCCCUCCAGUGCCAGGGCGAAGUUCUUUAUCCCGCCUUCGACACCACCAACGCCAUCGAAUGCCAUUUUAGUUGCGUCUACUUCAUAUCCCUGGAAUUCAGAACUCUGGUAUAAUAGGUAGAAGUGACAACCUUUCUAUCCCGGGAUGAGUUGUGCUUCUCUCAUUUCACUUUUAUGAUAAAACUCCACACAUUUGGAUUGAGAGGGAAGGCAAGAAGCAGUUAAAAUUUUUGAGAGUUUGGAUGGCAGACUAUACUAAAAGGAAGCAUAGAGCCUGGUUGACCUUGGGAGAGUUGGCAAGGCCUGGGUCUUCAAAGUCAAAUGAUUGUCAAAAAGUGAAUAUGAUGUACCAGUACCUAGUUUAUUACUUAGAGUAGAGGCUGGAAUACAUAACUGAUUUUAAAAUAAGAAGAGUGGUUAAAAAAAAAAAAUAAGACUCUUAAACACAGAAAACAAACUGAUGGUUGCCAGAGGGGAGAUUGGUGAGGAGAUGGAUGAAACAGAUAAAGGAGACUAAGUUACAAACUUUCAGUUAUAAAAUAAAUACGUCACAGGAUGAAAUGUACAGCGCAGAGAAUACGGUCAAUAAUAUUGUAAUAACAUUGGUGACAGAUGGUGGCUACACUUAUUGGGUGAGCACUGUGUAAUAUAUGGAAUUGUUGUAUCAGUAUGUUGUACACCUGAAACCAAUACAACACUGUGUGUUAAUUACACUUCAACAAAAAUAAAAAUUAAAAAAAAAAGAAAAGAAGAGUGGUUUAAUUUUCACAAAGUAUUCACCCAGAUUUGCAAAGCUAAGCUCUAAUGAACCUUUUCUUGACUUCAUGGACAAAUUCUGAAAUAGUUUCCAAAGGGUGAUAGAAAUAAUCAGAUAAUGUCCAUAAAGUGCUGAGCACAGGGUCAGGCACACAUGAAGCGGUAAAUAAAUAAAAGCAGUUAUAAUACUGUUACGAAAAGCCUCCAGAUAUCAUUCAAAUCAGCGCGCGAGAGAAGUAGAAGACCAUGCCAACCAUUGCUCAUGUAGCUCUCUGCUGUGCUCCAGUGUGUAAUACACAAUGUAGUCUGGAACUUCUUGGGUCACUAUGGAAAGAUUUCCCUUCUUUAUACGAUUCCAGCACAGCACUUCUCAAAGGGCAUUGGCUUGCCUUGUUCUGGCACCAACUGUAUGCCAGCAAGAAUAGUGGAAGUUUAACUGACAGAAGGGUAAAGUUCAGGGGGCAUGUUAUCAUUCGUGUCCUUAAAAAGUCAACAUCAGUCUCAGCUGACAGCUUCCCUCCAAGCUUAAGUAUACAGUCUGGGUUUUCCAGGAUAUUGUCAUGAGUUCACAGCUUACUUCAUUUCCCUGACCCUAUCCUUGACCAACCUGCUAUGUUAGAACUAUGGCUUCCAGUGGUUGCUCAACACUUGGCAGAUGGGCUGAACUUUGAAAUGGUGUUUUACAUGAGGGCAGCCCUUGCUCUGGCUGGCUCUGUAUGCAGAAGCUUCAGUGGGGAGGCAAAUUAUUUGAACAUGUAUAUGUGUGUGUAUAGAGGAGCGGAGGCAGGACUAUGGCUGCCCAGCCUGAAACUAGCCCAUAUCCCAGACUUCCAUUAACUUUUCCAAAAGUGGACUCGAAUUCAGUGACCAACAACCUCAAGCUGACCUUUAAGACAUGACAACAAUAUCAAAGCUCUAGUUCCCACCAGAACCUGAAUCACCGCCAGAGGCAUUUGGCCUGCAAAGUACCCAUCCAUUCCACUUUUGGAGCCAUUUUGAUUUCAGGAGACCAGUAUGCCAAGGUCUGAGGGAGGCAGAUGGCUCCAACAGUCUUUUUUUUUUUUUUUUUUUUUUCUUUUCCUCAGAGAAUAACAGCAUGAGAGCCAUCUUUUAUCACUGUACCUUCUGGUUUUAUGUCUUCAUGGGUAGUGUAAGGCAGUAGUAGGUGAAUGUGUGGAAUGGGGUGGGAAUAGGGAGUAGGGGAAAACAGAGAUUAGAUAGGGAGAAAAUGGGCUUAAAUGGAGAGUACAGAUUUCAUGAGCCUAUACCAGGGUAAGUGGGGAAAUGAGGCUAACCUAGAAAACUGAAAUUCCUAGUCAUGCCUGAGGCCAGUUUGAGGGCAAGUUGUUGGGUGGGGGGUGGUGACUCUCCCAUCCUUUUCCCUAAUCCUAAAUCCUUUUCUUCCCACCUGACUCCCUUCACUUCCACUAUUCUCUAUAUAUACAUAUUUUUGUGGUCUUUUAAAAAACUAAAAAGAUAUGCACCAGUCCGUUAAUACUAACUAAUGUUGGAGGCAAGAGGGAUGAUAUUCACUUUAUUUUUUUUGUUCUUUUUUUUUUUUUUUUGAUAAUCACUUUAAAAACGAUAUAUUUUUGGAUUAUAGUACUUGUUGCUUUACACAUUUAAUAUUUUUAAAAUUAAAAAAUAAAAACGUUGAUAAACACAUUUUCCUUCCUCUACUGCUCCCCUUCCCCAAAUCUUCUAGUUCAAAAGUGAGUCUUCCUUCCAUUCCAGCCCAAUCAAAAUUUCUUUUUGUUUUAUUUUAUUUUGUUUUUAUUUUUGGAGAGAGAGAGAGACAGGCUCAAACUCACAAACUGUGAGAUCAUGACCUGAGCCUAAAUUGGGUGCUCAACUGACUGAGCCACCCAGGGCCCCUCCCCUCAAUCAAAAUUUCUAUUUCCCCAAUGUUAGGUAGCUAGGCAGUGAUCAAACUGUUUGGUUAAAGUAAUUCCACUAAUGUGUGUUCAAGAAGUGCUGUUGGGCGCUAUUGACAUUGAUGAUCAGGCAAUAAGUGGGUGAGGGUAUCAGAAGAGUGGUCGACCUGGGUGAUAAUCCCAUCACCACCUCAAGCUUCGUCUAAGACUUUGAGCAUAUCAUUUCAAAUGCCCAUAUCUUCGGCCUAUUUUUUUUUUUUUUUUAAUCUUACAUGCAGAACUAAGAAAGUAAUACUACCAUUCUUGUACUCUGAAAGUUUUGAAGAGACAUUUUGGGCUUAGUCUGUGAGUUUUCACUGCAUUGUCUCCUAGGUCCGGUGGCAGUGGUGGUGGUGGUGAUGAGGUGCAGGGAGAUGGAAAGAAGAAAAUACCAUUUCUCUUUACAAAGGAGAAAAGAUAUGCCCCCAUUGACCUAGAUGUCAUGAGUCUUUUUUUCUCAAAGAGAAAUGCAGGUUCCAGAAGCACCUUGUAGUUGGGAACCACUAAAACUUAAAACACAAACUACUUUGCUUUGUACUCUUUAUAGACGGAUAUGACCUAAAAAUGGUUCCGUACUGUCAUUGCACUUUCCAUAGAACACCAUGAGGAAGAACUGGCUUCCUCAAGGACAUGUUUUCCUUUGCCACACUGAGUACUUACCUUGUGCUUAGAUUGUUCUUAUACUGGGCUCUGUGGACAAAACAGAAUUUCUUAACAUGAGAAAUGCUCAGUUAAAUGUGCAUUUAAGAAGUGAAAUGAGAAUGAAAUUUCAGUCGCAAGCAAAGCCUAUAGUAUUUUUAAAAACAAGGAAUCAAAUGAGGGAAAUGAAAUCAUAACCUUUACCUGAACCAGUUCAUCCUCUUUUUUUUUUUUUUAACUUUAUUUCUCUAGUAGGAAAAUAAUUCAUCUGGCCUGAGUGUGUUCCUUACCACAUAGCCGGCACGGUUGUCUCAUGCCAGCACCAAGACCAUAUGAAGCUAAAUCAACAGACCCUGAUUUGUUGGCUCAACCAAGUAUAAAGUAGCCACUGGAAAAUCGAGUUGAAAACAUAGGACAAAUAUAUGAAAGAGACAAGCCACAGCUUGCAGGAGAGAAGAUGUUUGCAGAAAACUCCAGCAUUACAGGUUUAUCUAAGGUGUGGUCUCAGCUUUACAAAUGUACAGGACUUCAUUUUUUGAUGCAGCAUAGUUGAAGAUCUUACACCACUGGGGGCUUUGUGGUUUAAGGAUGAUGUGGUUAAAGAAGCACAAAGAAGGUUAAAAAUUGCAUUCUGGUAAAGGCCAGUCCCUUUACAACUAGGAUCUCAGUUUCCUCAUCCUAUACAAGGCAUGACAUCACAUGGUCUCUGCAGGCCCUUUUUAGCUCUGACCCUUCAUUUUUCUAUUUUGUCGAAAGUGUGGCAUCAAGAAGCAGUUCUCCAAUCAAUCCACAAGACACAUCUGAAUUAUUGAUUAAUUAUAGCAUCUGAAUUUAGAAAAGCCA
Molecule: long non-coding RNA, 4664 nt
Organism: Felis catus (domestic cat)
Lineage: Eukaryota; Metazoa; Chordata; Mammalia; Carnivora; Felidae
Exons: 3
Source: RefSeq, a predicted model, not a curated record